UACCAGCCGGGGAGUCAGCGGUGCCUUGUACCCGAGAUCCGCUAUAGCGGGGGUUCAUUCCCGGAAGUGAGGGCGGAGUCGACGCGGUCUGCGACUUUCUUUCUGUGUUGAAGAACGGGUCUCGCGCAAUCGGACGCUGUGAACCAUGUCAGGUGGGGAACCAAGCAGCAUUAAGCGGCCUAUCCGAUGUGCCGCGAGGCAACCUGUUCCGAGCAGAGGGCGAGACUAAC
This 230-nucleotide signal recognition particle RNA is filed under the name bovine gut metagenome. RNAcentral's name for it is "Bacterial large signal recognition particle RNA". It matches the Rfam family "Bacterial large signal recognition particle RNA", at positions 4 to 227 of the family's 256-position model. Rfam says of the family: The signal recognition particle (SRP) is a universally conserved ribonucleoprotein involved in the co-translational targeting of proteins to membranes. Archaeal SRP consists of a 7S RNA and homologues of the eukaryotic SRP19 and SRP54 proteins. In most bacteria, the SRP consists of a 4.5S RNA and the Ffh protein (a homologue of the eukaryotic SRP54 protein). The record is from RNAcentral.